AUCAAUUAUGACCCGCAACUUAAUUUAAUUUACUUAAUAUUAACAAACAUUGACGUAAAAUUGAUGUGACAUUUUAAUUAUUGCCGUGUCAUCAACUAUCAUGAGCAACUAUACUCUUAUCAUAAUAGAGGCCAUUAUGAAGAUGGAGUUUUCGAAUUGACAAUUCAUAUCAUUAAAUAUGAUUUACACUAUUUAAAGUUCCAUCUAAAUAGGUAUAUGAACGGUCAAAAUUGAAUGAUUUUCUAAAUAUAUGAGAUAGGUUUUUUAAUUUAAGAUCAAAGUUAUUGGACUUGAUCUAUAUAGUGAAUAAAAUUUUUUAUUAAAAAUUUAAUCGAUUCUAUUUUUUUUUUUCACCGAUAAAUGCUCCGUACUAGUCAUUAAAAUAUCAAUGUAAGUCCCUUGAUUGUAAGCAAUAUGGUGUCAAAAUAUUAUGAAAUUCAGAUAUCGUUUAAAUACUCCAAAUUUUAUUUAACGAUAUGAAUUGUUAAUUCAAAAAUUUUAUUAUCGAAAACGACUUAUAAAUACAAAGAUUAUCAUCCUCAUUAUAUAAUAGUCGGACUAAAUAUAUAAAAUGAGAUUAAUAUGCUUUUAGAAGCACAAUGGUUUCCAUGAUCCAGUUUGUUUUCAAUCACAGAAAGUCCAAAUCGAUAAUUGGUUCUAUUAAACUUGAUUUACAUAUUUUAAAUAUUUAGAAACUAAUUUUCGUAAUUUUUUCAAUACCAUUUAUGUGAUGAUCGAAAAGUCUCAAAAUUUAAUUAUAUUAAUGGUUGAUAUGAGACUAUCGCAAGUUUAAAGAUGCAAUAAUAUCAAAUUGGGUCAAAUUUUGGUGGAAUUGUCUAUUUGCUGUGUAAAGUAAACUUGGAUGAUAUUGAAAAAUUAUGAAAUUUGACUUUUUGAUAAUUCAAAUUAAUAGCAUUGAUCAAGUUUAAUAAAGCUAAUUGUCAUUUCAGAUUCUCGUGAUUGAAAGUAAAGUGAAAGCACGAAGCCUUUAUGCUUCUAAAAACAUAGUAACCUCUCUCUCUCUCUCUUUUUCUUUCUAUAUAUAUAUAUAUAUAGAGAGAGAGAGAGAGUAUGUAUAUUCAGCUGGGAUAUAAUUAAUAGUGCAUGAAUAGUAUUUAUUAUCAACUUUUUACUUAAUUUUGAUUAUUACUAUUCCAUCUAACCCUACCAAAUUUUAGGCAUCAAAUAAAAAAAUGUUAGUAAAUACUAUUUCUCUACUUUCAAACAUAUUUUAACUCAAAUA
This 1243-nucleotide long non-coding RNA is filed under the name Ananas comosus (pineapple). RNAcentral's name for it is "long non-coding RNA (ACOM_LNC018471)". The record is from RNAcentral. Lineage: Eukaryota; Viridiplantae; Streptophyta; Magnoliopsida; Poales; Bromeliaceae.